This 349-nucleotide unclassified non-coding RNA is filed under the name soil metagenome. RNAcentral describes it as "partial contains 5.8S ribosomal RNA, internal transcribed spacer 2, and large subunit ribosomal RNA". The stretch from base 1 to 120 matches the Rfam family "5.8S ribosomal RNA", at positions 35 to 154 of the family's 154-position model. The record is from RNAcentral.
GAUGAAGAACGCAGCGAAAUGUGAUAACUAAUGUGAAUUGCAGAAUUCAGUGAAUCAUCGAGUCUUUGAACGCACAUUGCGCCCCCUGGUAUUCCGGGGGGCAUGCCUGUCCGAGCGUCAUUGCUGCCCUCAAGCCCGGCUUGUGUGUUGGGUCGCCGUCCCCCUCUCCGGGGGGACGGGCCCGAAAGGCAGCGGCGGCACCGCGUCCGAUCCUCGAGCGUAUGGGGCUUUGUCACAUGCUCUGUAGGAUUGGCCGGCGCCUGCCGACGUUUUCCAACCAUUCUUUCCAGGUUGACCUCGGAUCAGGUAGGGAUACCCGCUGAACUUAAGCAUAUCAAUAAGCGGAGGA